RNAcentral lists this ribosomal RNA (471 nucleotides) under Hydrophilidae environmental sample. RNAcentral describes it as "SSU rRNA". It matches the Rfam family "Eukaryotic small subunit ribosomal RNA", at positions 284 to 757 of the family's 1831-position model. The record is from RNAcentral. Lineage: Eukaryota; Metazoa; Arthropoda; Insecta; Coleoptera; Hydrophilidae.
CCGGCGACGCAUCUUUCAAUGUCUGCCUUAUCUACCGUCGAUGGUAGGUUCUGCGCCUACCAUGGUUGUAACGGGUAACGGGGAAUCAGGGUUCGAUUCCGGACAGGGAGCCUGAGAAACGGCUACCACAUCCAAGGAAGGCAGCAGGCGCGCAAAUUACCCACUCCCGGCACGGGGAGGUAGUGACGAAAAAUAACGAUACGGGACUCAUCCGAGGCCCCGUAAUCGGAAUGAGUACACUCUAAACCCUUUAACGAGGAUCAAUUGGAGGGCAAGUCUGGUGCCAGCAGCCGCGGUAAUUCCAGCUCCAAUAGCGUAUAUUAAAGUUGUUGCGGUUAAAAAGCUCGUAGUCGAAUCUGUGUCUCGCGCCGCCGGUUCAUCGCUCGCGCGGUGUUUAACUGGCGUGUCGCGGGACGUCCUGCCGGUGGGCUUAGCCUCUUAAUUGGGGCGGCCCAACUUCAAAUCCCACCA